RNAcentral lists this unclassified non-coding RNA (370 nucleotides) under uncultured fungus. RNAcentral's name for it is "sequence contains ITS1". The stretch from base 1 to 104 matches the Rfam family "5.8S ribosomal RNA", at positions 50 to 154 of the family's 154-position model. Lineage: Eukaryota; Fungi. The record is from RNAcentral.
GAAAUGCGAUAAGUAGUGUGAAUUGCAGAUACCGUGAAUCAUCAAAUCUUUGAACGCACAUUGCACUGCCUGGAAUUCCGGGCAGUAUACCUGUUUGAGUAUCAGUAAACACUCUCACCGGCGCGUGCUGGAUGAUAUCCAGCAGAUGUCGACGAGGAACUGAGUUUUCACACAAAGUGUUACUUUAAAUGUAGUUGCUGGUAGGACUUGCCUGCCGACAGAGUUAAUGGGCACUUGUGCCUGUUGCUGUCAUGGUAUGGCGAGGGACUAAUAUCAGAUCACAACCCAAAAAACACCUCCGCCGCUACAACUAUAGUGGUCGUCGUGUGACUUUGAUCUCAAAUCAGGUAAGAUUACCCGCUGAACUUAA